RNAcentral lists this ribosomal RNA (564 nucleotides) under Meyerozyma guilliermondii. RNAcentral describes it as "LSU rRNA". It matches the Rfam family "Eukaryotic large subunit ribosomal RNA", at positions 87 to 667 of the family's 3401-position model. Lineage: Eukaryota; Fungi; Ascomycota; Pichiomycetes; Serinales; Debaryomycetaceae. The record is from RNAcentral.
CGGCGAGUGAAGCGGCAAAAGCUCAAAUUUGAAAUCUGGCGCCUUCGGUGUCCGAGUUGUAAUUUGAAGAUUGUAACCUUGGGGUUGGCUCUUGUCUAUGUUUCUUGGAACAGGACGUCACAGAGGGUGAGAAUCCCGUGCGAUGAGAUGCCCAAUUCUAUGUAAGGUGCUUUCGAAGAGUCGAGUUGUUUGGGAAUGCAGCUCUAAGUGGGUGGUAAAUUCCAUCUAAAGCUAAAUAUUGGCGAGAGACCGAUAGCGAACAAGUACAGUGAUGGAAAGAUGAAAAGAACUUUGAAAAGAGAGUGAAAAAGUACGUGAAAUUGUUGAAAGGGAAGGGUUUGAGAUCAGACUCGAUAUUUUGUGAGCCUUGCCUUCGUGGCGGGGUGACCCGCAGCUUAUCGGGCCAGCAUCGGUUUGGGCGGUAGGAUAAUGGCGUAGGAAUGUGACUUUACUUCGGUGAAGUGUUAUAGCCUGCGUUGAUGCUGCCUGCCUAGACCGAGGACUGCGAUUUUAUCAAGGAUGCUGGCAUAAUGAUCCCAAACCGCCCGUCUUGAAACACGGACC